AAGACUAUAGACCUGCGGAGUACCUGCGGAAGGAUCAUCAUAGGAUUUCAGCAGGCCUCCGGGUUUUCUCUGGUUGGGGGGGAGCAAGUUGGCCUGCGAAGAACAACAAACAACAUUGACACCCAAGGAAAGGAAGCGAGGUGCGUGGUGCGUGGUGUGUGGUCAAACACACAGCGUGCGCCGUGUGCCGCAAAGACAUGUAUACGUGGAUGCCUGAUAGAAAAGAGUUUGGAUGGAGGG
RNAcentral lists this unclassified non-coding RNA (240 nucleotides) under soil metagenome. RNAcentral's name for it is "partial contains 5.8S ribosomal RNA, internal transcribed spacer 2, and large subunit ribosomal RNA". The record is from RNAcentral.